GCUGGUUAUUCAGGAAAAGGAUCUUAGUCCAAUUUUAAUCCUUCUCAUAACACUAAAUACAUCCACAGGUUUAAAAUUUACUCAAAUAAGGUACAGCCUAUUUGAGGCAGGAGACAACCUACAACAGAGGGUAAUGUUUUCAUCAAUGUGACCAAGUGGGCCCAAAAGCAGCCAUCUUUUUAAAGAGCGUUAAAGCCUUAUCACACUCAAUUAUUAAUUCCGAUCCAACCCCAAAACCCCUCACCCCUACUGAAUGACUCUAUAUUUAUAUAGAAGCCCUUAUGUUAGAACUAGUAACAAGAAUACCGAUUCUCCUAUAAAUGUAAGUGUAAGCCAAAAUGGACCACCCACCGGCACUCACCGCCAAUGAACCGACAGUAACAACCACAAGAAAACCUUACUUCACCCAGCGUUAACCUUACACAAGAACUUUUCUGGAAAGAUUAAAAAAAGAGGAAGGAACUCGGCAAAUAUUAACCCCGCCUG
Molecule: ribosomal RNA, 486 nt
Filed under: Hylophorbus rufescens myopicus
Lineage: Eukaryota; Metazoa; Chordata; Amphibia; Anura; Microhylidae
Description: partial large subunit ribosomal RNA
Source: RNAcentral